This 649-nucleotide ribosomal RNA is filed under the name Pseudobacillus badius. RNAcentral's name for it is "bacterial SSU rRNA". It matches the Rfam family "Bacterial small subunit ribosomal RNA", at positions 62 to 694 of the family's 1533-position model. Lineage: Bacteria; Bacillati; Bacillota; Bacilli; Caryophanales; Bacillaceae. The record is from RNAcentral.
UCGAGCGGACUGAUGGGAGCUUGUCCCUGAAGUUAGCGGCGGACGGGUGAGUAACACGUGGGUAACCUGCCUGUAAGACUGGGAUAACUCCGGGAAACCGGGGCUAAUACCGGAUAUUCUUUUUUCUCCGCAUGGAGAAAGAUGGAAAGGCGGCUUCGGCUGUCACUUACAGAUGGACCCGCGGCGCAUUAGCUAGUUGGUGGGGUAAUGGCCCACCAAGGCGACGAUGCGUAGCCGACCUGAGAGGGUGAUCGGCCACACUGGGACUGAGACACGGCCCAGACUCCUACGGGAGGCAGCAGUAGGGAAUCUUCCGCAAUGGACGAAAGUCUGACGGAGCAACGCCGCGUGAGUGAAGAAGGUUUUCGGAUCGUAAAGCUCUGUUGUUAGGGAAGAACAAGUACGGAAGUAACUGUCCGUACCUUGACGGUACCUAACCAGAAAGCCACGGCUAACUACGUGCCAGCAGCCGCGGUAAUACGUAGGUGGCAAGCGUUGUCCGGAAUUAUUGGGCGUAAAGCGCGCGCAGGCGGCUUCUUAAGUCUGAUGUGAAAGCCCACGGCUCAACCGUGGAGGGUCAUUGGAGACUGGUAGGCUUGAGUGCAGAAGAGGAGAGCGGAAUUCCACGUGUAGCGGUGAAAUGCGUAGA